CAGACUCACAGGGUUUGCUGAGGAGAGACCUGUGGGAGGACAGGUGAUGGACAUGUGAUAUUUGGAGAGAGUUUAAGAGAGACUCAAUGGACAGUGACAGGAAGCUUGCGUGGCCUGGCGGUUUCUGCUGGAUCUCGCAGGUUUGCUACCCUGACACUACUGAACUGGACUGCUGACAAGUGGAGAUUGGACUCCCCCCGCCCCCAAACUACUUCUAAACAGAUGAGUCAUCUGUUGAGGAGACAGGGGAGGACAUGUUGGUUCUCCUCUCCCCCAGCUCAGCGGGGAUCUCAGUAUCCGCUGAUUAUUCCUGUGUGAAAUCAUCAACUGUGUCGACGGCCAG
This 343-nucleotide long non-coding RNA is filed under the name Mus musculus (house mouse). RNAcentral describes it as "predicted gene, 36644". The record is from RNAcentral. Lineage: Eukaryota; Metazoa; Chordata; Mammalia; Rodentia; Muridae.